Molecule: ribosomal RNA, 449 nt
Filed under: uncultured bacterium
Lineage: Bacteria
Description: partial 16S ribosomal RNA
Rfam family: Bacterial small subunit ribosomal RNA
Source: RNAcentral
AACGAACGCUGGCGGCAUGCCUAACACAUGCAAGUCGAACGAAGCCUUCGGGCUUAAUGGCGCACGGGUGCGUAACGCGUGGGAAUCUGCCCUUGGGUUCGGAAUAACAGUUAGAAAUGACUGCUAAUACCGGAUGAUGUCUUCGGACCAAAGAUUUAUCGCCCAAGGAUGAGCCCGCGUAGGAUUAGGUAGUUGGUGGGGUAAUGGCCCACCAAGCCGACGAUCCUUAGCUGGUCUGAGAGGACGAUCAGCCACACUGGGACUGAGACACGGCCCAGACUCCUACGGGAGGCAGCAGUGGGGAAUAUUGGACAAUGGGCGAAAGCCUGAUCCAGCAAUGCCGCGUGAGUGAUGAAGGCCUUAGGGUUGUAAAGCUCUUUUACCAGGGAUGAUAAUGACAGUACCUGGAGAAUAAGCUCCGGCUAACUCCGUGCCAGCAGCCGCGGUAA